RNAcentral lists this ribosomal RNA (115 nucleotides) under Erinaceus europaeus (western European hedgehog). The record is from RNAcentral. Lineage: Eukaryota; Metazoa; Chordata; Mammalia; Eulipotyphla; Erinaceidae.
GUCUACGGCCAUACCACACUGAACACGCCCAAUCUCAUCUGAUCUCAGAGGCUAAGCAGACUAAGCAGGGAUGGGCCUGGUUACUACUUGGAUGGGAGAAAUACACCUAUAUACA